RNAcentral lists this ribosomal RNA (253 nucleotides) under uncultured prokaryote. Its description in RNAcentral is "partial 16S ribosomal RNA". It matches the Rfam family "Bacterial small subunit ribosomal RNA", at positions 524 to 776 of the family's 1533-position model. The record is from RNAcentral.
UACGUAGGGGGCAAGCGUUGUCCGGAUUUAUUGGGCGUAAAGAGCGUGUAGGCGGCCAUACAGGUCUGCUGUGAAAACUCGAGGCUCAACCUCGAGCUGUCGGUGGAAACCGUAUGGCUAGAGUCCGGAAGAGGAGAGUGGAAUUCCCGGUGUAGCGGUGAAAUGCGCAGAUAUCGGGAAGAACACCCGUGGCUAAGGCGGCUCUCUAGUACGGUACUGACGCUGAGACACGAAAGCGUGGGGAGCGAACAGG